Spodoptera frugiperda (fall armyworm) is the source of this 3775-nucleotide long non-coding RNA. RefSeq lists it as uncharacterized. Lineage: Eukaryota; Metazoa; Arthropoda; Insecta; Lepidoptera; Noctuidae. The transcript has 3 exons. The record is from RefSeq and is a predicted model, not a curated record.
CACGUACUUAGGUAUCGUCACGAGCUAAUGUUCACAUGUAAACAGCAGCUCAUGUAGUGCAGAGAUUGUCCAGUCAACAAGCAUGUAGCGUAGACUGUCCAGGCGACACACGUACUUAGGUAUCGUCAUGAGCUAAUGUUCACAUGUAAACAGCAGCUCAUGUAGUGCAGAGAUUGUCCAGUCAUCAAGGAUGUAGCGUAGACUGUCCAGGCGACACGCGUACUUAGGUAUCGUCAUGAGCUAAUGUUCACAUGUAAACAGCAGCUCAUGUAGUGCAGAGAUUGUCCAGUCAACAAGGAUGUAGCGUAGACUGUCCAGGCGACACACGUACUUAGGUAUCGUCAUGAGCUAAUGUUCACAUGUAAACAGCAGCUCAUGUAGUGCAGAGAUUGUCCAGUCAACAAGGAUGUAGCGUAGACUGUCCAGGCGACACACGUACUUAGGUAUCGUCAUGAGCUAAUGUUCACAUGUAAACAGCAGCUCAUGUAGUGCAGAGAUUGUCCAGUCAACAAGCAUGUAGCGUAGACUGUCCAGGCGACACACGUACUUAGGUAUCGUCAUGAGCUAAUGUUCACAUGUAAACAGCAGCUCAUGUAGUGCAGAGAUUGUCCAGUCAACAAUGAUGUAGCGUAGACUGUCCAGGCGACACACGUACUUAGGUAUCGUCAUGAGCUAAUGUUCACAUGUAAACAGCAGCUCAUGUAGUGCAGAGAUUGUCCAGUCAACAAGCAUGUAGCGUAGACUGUCCAGGCGACACACGUACUUAGGUAUCGUCAUGAGCUAAUGUUCACAUGUAAACAGCAGCUCAUGUAGUGCAGAGAUUGUCCAGUCAUCAAGGAUGUAGCGUAGACUGUCCAGGCGACACGCGUACUUAGGUAUCGUCAUGAGCUAAUGUUCACAUGUAAACAGCAGCUCAUGUAGUGCAGAGAUUGUCCAGUCAACAAGGAUGUAGCGUAGACUGUCCAGGCGACACACGUACUUAGGUAUCGUCAUGAGCUAAUGUUCACAUGUAAACAGCAGCUCAUGUAGUGCAGAGAUUGUCCAGUCAACAAGGAUGUAGCGUAGACUGUCCAGGCGACACACGUACUUAGGUAUCGUCAUGAGCUAAUGUUCACAUGUAAACAGCAGCUCAUGUAGUGCAGAGAUUGUCCAGUCAACAAGCAUGUAGCGUAGACUGUCCAGGCGACACACGUACUUAGGUAUCGUCAUGAGCUAAUGUUCACAUGUAAACAGCAGCUCAUGUAGUGCAGAGAUUGUCCAGUCAACAAGCAUGUAGCGUAGACUGUCCAGGCGACACACGUACUUAGGUAUCGUCAUGAGCUAAUGUUCACAUGUAAACAGCAGCUCAUGUAGUGCAGAGAUUGUCCAGUCAACAAGCAUGUAGCGUAGACUGUCCAGGCGACACACGUACUUAGGUAUCGUCAUGAGCUAAUGUUCACAUGUAAACAGCAGCUCAUGUAGUGCAGAGAUUGUCCAGUCAACAAGCAUGUAGCGUAGACUGUCCAGGCGACACACGUACUUAGGUAUCGUCAUGAGCUAAUGUUCACAUGUAAACAGCAGCUCAUGUAGUGCAGAGAUUGUCCAGUCAACAAGCAUGUAGCGUAGACUGUCCAGGCGACACACGUACUUAGGUAUCGUCAUGAGCUAAUGUUCACAUGUAAACAGCAGCUCAUGUAGUGCAGAGAUUGUCCAGUCAUCAAGGAUGUAGCGUAGACUGUCCAGGCGACACGCGUACUUAGGUAUCGUCAUGAGCUAAUGUUCACAUGUAAACAGCAGCUCAUGUAGUGCAGAGAUUGUCCAGUCAACAAGGAUGUAGCGUAGACUGUCCAGGCGACACACGUACUUAGGUAUCGUCAUGAGCUAAUGUUCACAUGUAAACAGCAGCUCAUGUAGUGCAGAGAUUGUCCAGUCAACAAGCAUGUAGCGUAGACUGUCCAGGCGACACACGUACUUAGGUAUCGUCAUGAGCUAAUGUUCACAUGUAAACAGCAGCUCAUGUAGUGCAGAGAUUGUCCAGUCAACAAUGAUGUAGCGUAGACUGUCCAGGCGACACACGUACUUAGGUAUCGUCAUGAGCUAAUGUUCACAUGUAAACAGCAGCUCAUGUAGUGCAGAGAUUGUCCAGUCAACAAGCAUGUAGCGUAGACUGUCCAGGCGACACACGUACUUAGGUAUCGUCAUGAGCUAAUGUUCACAUGUAAACAGCAGCUCAUGUAGUGCAGAGAUUGUCCAGUCAACAAGCAUGUAGCGUAGACUGUCCAGGCGACACACGUACUUAGGUAUCGUCAUGAGCUAAUGUUCACAUGUAAACAGCAGCUCAUGUAGUGCAGAGAUUGUCCAGUCAUCAAGGAUGUAGCGUAGACUGUCCAGGCGACACGCGUACUUAGGUAUCGUCAUGAGCUAAUGUUCACAUGUAAACAGCAGCUCAUGUAGUGCAGAGAUUGUCCAGUCAACAAGGAUGUAGCGUAGACUGUCCAGGCGACACACGUACUUAGGUAUCGUCAUGAGCUAAUGUUCACAUGUAAACAGCAGCUCAUGUAGUGCAGAGAUUGUCCAGUCAACAAGGAUGUAGCGUAGACUGUCCAGGCGACACACGUACUUAGGUAUCGUCAUGAGCUAAUGUUCACAUGUAAACAGCAGCUCAUGUAGUGCAGAGAUUGUCCAGUCAACAAGCAUGUAGCGUAGACUGUCCAGGCGACACACGUACUUAGGUAUCGUCAUGAGCUAAUGUUCACAUGUAAACAGCAGCUCAUGUAGUGCAGAGAUUGUCCAGUCAACAAGCAUGUAGCGUAGACUGUCCAGGCGACACACGUACUUAGGUAUCGUCAUGAGCUAAUGUUCACAUGUAAACAGCAGCUCAUGUAGUGCAGAGAUUGUCCAGUCAACAAGCAUGUAGCGUAGACUGUCCAGGCGACACACGUACUUAGGUAUCGUCAUGAGCUAAUGUUCACAUGUAAACAGCAGCUCAUGUAGUGCAGAGAUUGUCCAGUCAACAAGCAUGUAGCGUAGACUGUCCAGGCGACACACGUACUUAGGUAUCGUCAUGAGCUAAUGUUCACAUGUAAACAGCAGCUCAUGUAGUGCAGAGAUUGUCCAGUCAACAAGCAUGUAGCGUAGACUGUCCAGGCGACACACGUACUUAGGUAUCGUCAUGAGCUAAUGUUCACAUGUAAACAGCAGCUCAUGUAGUGCAGAGAUUGUCCAGUCAUCAAGGAUGUAGCGUAGACUGUCCAGGCGACACGCGUACUUAGGUAUCGUCAUGAGCUAAUGUUCACAUGUAAACAGCAGCUCAUGUAGUGCAGAGAUUGUCCAGUCAACAAGGAUGUAGCGUAGACUGUCCAGGCGACACACGUACUUAGGUAUCGUCAUGAGCUAAUGUUCACAUGUAAACAGCAGCUCAUGUAGUGCAGAGAUUGUCCAGUCAACAAGCAUGUAGCGUAGACUGUCCAGGCGACACACGUACUUAGGUAUCGUCAUGAGCUAAUGUUCACAUGUAAACAGCAGCUCAUGUAGUGCAGAGAUUGUCCAGACAACAAUGAUGUAGCGUAGACUGUCCAGGCGACACACGUACUUAGGUAUCGUCAUGAGCUAAUGUUCACAUGUAAACAGCAGCUCAUGUAGUGCAGAGAUUGUCCAGUCAACAAGCAUGUAGCGUAGACUGUCCAGGCGACACACGUACUUAGGUAUCGUCAUGAGCUAAUGUUCACAUGUAAACAGCAGCUCAUGUAGUGCAGAGAUUGUCCAGUCAACAAGCAUGUAGCGUAGACUGUCCAGG